UUAAGCGACUAAGCGUACACGGUGGAUGCCCUGGCAGUCAGAGGCGAUGAAGGACGUGCUAAUCUGCGAUAAGCGUCGGUAAGGUGAUAUGAACCGUUAUAACCGGCGAUUUCCGAAUGGGGAAACCCAGUGUGAUUCGUCACACUAUCAUUAACUGAAUCCAUAGGUUAAUGAGGCGAACCGGGGGAACUGAAACAUCUAAGUACCCCGAGGAAAAGAAAUCAACCGAGAUUCCCCCAGUAGCGGCGAGCGAACGGGGAGCAGCCCAGAGCCUGAAUCAGUGUGUGUGUUAGUGGAAGCGUCUGGAAAGGCGCGCGAUACAGGGUGACAGCCCCGUACACAAAAAUGCACAUACUGUGAGCUCGAUGAGUAGGGCGGGACACGUGGUAUCCUGUCUGAAUAUGGGGGGACCAUCCUCCAAGGCUAAAUACUCCUGACUGACCGAUAGUGAACCAGUACCGUGAGGGAAAGGCGAAAAGAACCCCGGCGAGGGGAGUGAAAAAGAACCUGAAACCGUGUACGUACAAGCAGUGGGAGCACAGAGCAAUCUGUGUGACUGCGUACCUUUUGUAUAAUGGGUCAGCGACUUAUAUUCUGUAGCAAGGUUAACCGAAUAGGGGAGCCGAAGGGAAACCGAGUCUUAACUGGGCGUUAAGUUGCAGGGUAUAGACCCGAAACCCGGUGAUCUAGCCAUGGGCAGGUUGAAGGUUGGGUAACACUAACUGGAGGACCGAACCGACUAAUGUUGAAAAAUUAGCGGAUGACUUGUGGCUGGGGGUGAAAGGCCAAUCAAACCGGGAGAUAGCUGGUUCUCCCCGAAAGCUAUUUAGGUAGCGCCUCGUGAAUUCAUCUCCGGGGGUAGAGCACUGUUUCGGCAAGGGGGUCAUCCCGACUUACCAACCCGAUGCAAACUGCGAAUACCGGAGAAUGUUAUCACGGGAGACACACGGCGGGUGCUAACGUCCGUCGUGAAGAGGGAAACAACCCAGACCGCCAGCUAAGGUCCCAAAGUCAUGGUUAAGUGGGAAACGAUGUGGGAAGGCCCAGACAGCCAGGAUGUUGGCUUAGAAGCAGCCAUCAUUUAAAGAAAGCGUAAUAGCUCACUGGUCGAGUCGGCCUGCGCGGAAGAUGUAACGGGGCUAAACCAUGCACCGAAGCUGCGGCAGCGACGCUGAUGCGUUGUUGGGUAGGGGAGCGUUCUGUAAGCCUGUGAAGGUGUGCUGUGAGGCAUGCUGGAGGUAUCAGAAGUGCGAAUGCUGACAUAAGUAACGAUAAAGCGGGUGAAAAGCCCGCUCGCCGGAAGACCAAGGGUUCCUGUCCAACGUUAAUCGGGGCAGGGUGAGUCGACCCCUAAGGCGAGGCCGAAAGGCGUAGUCGAUGGGAAACAGGUUAAUAUUCCUGUACUUGGUGUUACUGCGAAGGGGGGACGGAGAAGGCUAUGUUGGCCGGGCGACGGUUGUCCCGGUUUAAGCGUGUAGGCUGGUUUUCCAGGCAAAUCCGGAAAAUCAAGGCUGAGGCGUGAUGACGAGGCACUACGGUGCUGAAGCAACAAAUGCCCUGCUUCCAGGAAAAGCCUCUAAGCAUCAGGUAACAUCAAAUCGUACCCCAAACCGACACAGGUGGUCAGGUAGAGAAUACCAAGGCGCUUGAGAGAACUCGGGUGAAGGAACUAGGCAAAAUGGUGCCGUAACUUCGGGAGAAGGCACGCUGAUAUGUAGGUGAAGUCCCUCGCGGAUGGAGCUGAAAUCAGUCGAAGAUACCAGCUGGCUGCAACUGUUUAUUAAAAACACAGCACUGUGCAAACACGAAAGUGGACGUAUACGGUGUGACGCCUGCCCGGUGCCGGAAGGUUAAUUGAUGGGGUUAGCGCAAGCGAAGCUCUUGAUCGAAGCCCCGGUAAACGGCGGCCGUAACUAUAACGGUCCUAAGGUAGCGAAAUUCCUUGUCGGGUAAGUUCCGACCUGCACGAAUGGCGUAAUGAUGGCCAGGCUGUCUCCACCCGAGACUCAGUGAAAUUGAACUCGCUGUGAAGAUGCAGUGUACCCGCGGCAAGACGGAAAGACCCCGUGAACCUUUACUAUAGCUUGACACUGAACAUUGAGCCUUGAUGUGUAGGAUAGGUGGGAGGCUUUGAAGUGUGGACGCCAGUCUGCAUGGAGCCGACCUUGAAAUACCACCCUUUAAUGUUUGAUGUUCUAACGUUGACCCGUGAUCCGGGUUGCGGACAGUGUCUGGUGGGUAGUUUGACUGGGGCGGUCUCCUCCUAAAGAGUAACGGAGGAGCACGAAGGUUGGCUAAUCCUGGUCGGACAUCAGGAGGUUAGUGCAAUGGCAUAAGCCAGCUUGACUGCGAGCGUGACGGCGCGAGCAGGUGCGAAAGCAGGUCAUAGUGAUCCGGUGGUUCUGAAUGGAAGGGCCAUCGCUCAACGGAUAAAAGGUACUCCGGGGAUAACAGGCUGAUACCGCCCAAGAGUUCAUAUCGACGGCGGUGUUUGGCACCUCGAUGUCGGCUCAUCACAUCCUGGGGCUGAAGUAGGUCCCAAGGGUAUGGCUGUUCGCCAUUUAAAGUGGUACGCGAGCUGGGUUUAGAACGUCGUGAGACAGUUCGGUCCCUAUCUGCCGUGGGCGCUGGAGAAUUGAGGGGGGCUGCUCCUAGUACGAGAGGACCGGAGUGGACGCAUCACUGGUGUUCGGGUUGUCAUGCCAAUGGCACUGCCCGGUAGCUAAAUGCGGAAGAGAUAAGUGCUGAAAGCAUCUAAGCACGAAACUUGCCCCGAGAUGAGUUCUCCCUGACUCCUUGAGAGUCCUGAAGGAACGUUGAAGACGACGACGUUGAUAGGCCGGGUGUGUAAGCGCAGCGAUGCGUUGAGCUAACCGGUACUAAUGAACCGUGAGGCUUAACCUU
This 2904-nucleotide ribosomal RNA is filed under the name Escherichia coli. RNAcentral describes it as "bacterial LSU rRNA". It matches the Rfam family "Bacterial large subunit ribosomal RNA". The record is from RNAcentral. Lineage: Bacteria; Pseudomonadati; Pseudomonadota; Gammaproteobacteria; Enterobacterales; Enterobacteriaceae.